Long non-coding RNA from Raphanus sativus (radish), 665 nucleotides. RefSeq lists it as uncharacterized. The transcript is spliced from 3 exons. The record is from RefSeq and is a predicted model, not a curated record. Lineage: Eukaryota; Viridiplantae; Streptophyta; Magnoliopsida; Brassicales; Brassicaceae.
AAUAGAAAUCUUCACUUUUCUUUCUCUCUCGCUUAAACUGUCGACAGAAAAAAAAAAAACUUGCGACUUCUUCUUCUUCUCCUACGCUCAUCUCCGAUCUCAGGCAACUCCUUCUCCGUCACCACCUCCAAGUCACAGACCCCUUCGAUUUCGAAAACCCCAACCCCAUCUCGUGUUCAUGUUUAUUGCGAGAGAGAAACCCUAAUUCCACACCACCGCAUGCAAUUCCCAGAAACAUAAACUUGAUGGCUUCAUCUUCUGUCAUUAGAAUGUAUCCUCGGCGCUUGUACGAAGUUGGGAGAACACCAAUUCAGAACAGAAUUUGAUUCAUGGAUGGUUCAGAAAAAGAUCAAUUCACAAGAUGGAUUGCCAAUACAAUGUGUUGUGAAGAAGGAGAAAAAAGCUAAGAAGAUGAUAUAGAAGGAGGAACUUACGAACAAGGAGGAGAAAAAGAAUGAGAAGAAAGCUGAAGUACCAGUAAAAAAAGUAAAGCAAGAGAAAGCCUUCGAUAUACCAGAACUUAAAGAUGAAUCUAUAUCAUCAGAAGCUUGGGAAAAUCAUCUUUAAUGGAAUUUAGAUGAAUGUAUAACUUGCUGGUUUAUGGAUUUAGAUGGAUGUAUAACUUGCUGGUUUUUGGCUUUAAAUGGAUUUAUAAUUUGCUGGUU